RNAcentral lists this ribosomal RNA (224 nucleotides) under uncultured bacterium. RNAcentral's name for it is "partial 16S ribosomal RNA". It matches the Rfam family "Bacterial small subunit ribosomal RNA", at positions 15 to 230 of the family's 1533-position model. The record is from RNAcentral.
GAUCAUGGCUCAGGAUGAACGCUAGCUACAGGCUUAACACAUGCAAGUCGAGGGGCAGCGAGAUUGAAGCUUGCUUCAAUUGCCGGCGACCGGCGCACGGGUGAGUAACACGUAUCCAACCUUCCGUACACUCAGGGAUAGCCUUUCGAAAGAAAGAUUAAUACCUGAUGGUAUGAUGAGAUUGCAUGAUAUCAUCAUUAAAGAUUUAUCGGUGUACGAUGGGG